This 413-nucleotide ribosomal RNA is filed under the name Biomphalaria tenagophila. Its description in RNAcentral is "partial 16S ribosomal RNA". It matches the Rfam family "Bacterial large subunit ribosomal RNA", at positions 1860 to 2619 of the family's 2925-position model. The record is from RNAcentral. Lineage: Eukaryota; Metazoa; Mollusca; Gastropoda; Planorbidae.
UGCCCAGUGAUAUUUUUUUUAAAUGGCCGCAGUACCUUGACUGUGCUAAGGUAGCAUAAUCAAUUGGCUUCUAAUUAGAGUCUAGAAUGAAAGGAAUUAUGAGGUAAUUCUGUCUUAAAAGAUUUUUUUUUAAUUUAUUUAAAUGAUGAAAAUAUCAUUUUUUAGAAAAAAGACGAGAAGACCCUUAGAGUUUAAUUUUUUGAUUUUGUUGGGGCGACAAGUAAACAUUUUGAACUUUACUAAUUAAUUUAAUCGAUUUAUAAUAAGGAUGAAAAAACUACCUUAGGGAUAACAGCAUUAUAUUUUUAUAUGAUUGUGACCUCGAUGUUGGACUAGGAACUUUAUGACUAGCCGUCAAAAAAGAUUUGUUCUGUUCGAACAAUACUAUCCUACGUGAUCUGAGUUCAGACCGG